This 497-nucleotide ribosomal RNA is filed under the name uncultured bacterium. Its description in RNAcentral is "partial 16S ribosomal RNA". It matches the Rfam family "Bacterial small subunit ribosomal RNA", at positions 28 to 507 of the family's 1533-position model. The record is from RNAcentral.
GAUGAACGCUGGCGGCGUGCCUAAUACAUGCAAGUCGAGCGAACAGACGAGGAGCUUGCUCCUCUGACGUUAGCGGCGGACGGGUGAGUAACACGUGGAUAACCUACCUAUAAGACUGGGAUAACUUCGGGAAACCGGAGCUAAUACCGGAUAAUAUAUUGAACCGCAUGGUUCAAUAGUGAAAGACGGUUUUGCUGUCACUUAUAGAUGGAUCCGCGCCGCAUUAGCUAGUUGGUAAGGUAACGGCUUACCAAGGCAACGAUGCGUAGCCGACCUGAGAGGGUGAUCGGCCACACUGGAACUGAGACACGGUCCAGACUCCUACGGGAGGCAGCAGUAGGGAAUCUUCCGCAAUGGGCGAAAGCUUGACGGAGCAACGCCGCGUGAGUGAUGAAGGUCUUCGGAUCGUAAAAUUCUGUUAUUAGGGAAGAACAAAUGUGUAAGUAACUAUGCACGUCUUGACGGUACCUAAUCAGAAAGCCACGGCUAACUACGUG